UACCAGCUCUCCGAGUGGUGUGGAUGUUUAUUGGGCCUAAAGCAUCCGUAGCUGGCUGGACAAGUCCCCUGUUAAAUCCACCGAUUUAAUCGUUGGUGUGCGGGGGAUACUGUUCGGCUAGGGGACGGGAGAGGCAGACGGUAUUUUCGGGGUAGGGGUGAAAUCCUAUAAUCCCGGGAAGACCACCAGUGGCGAAGGCUGUCUGCUAGAACGCGCCCGACGGUGAGGGAUGAAAGCUGGGGGAGCGAACCGGAUUAGAUACCCGGGUAGUCCCAGCUGUAAACGAUGCAGGCUAGGUGUUUGGACGGCCACGUGCCGUUCUAGUGCCGCAGGGAAGCCGUUAAGCCUGCCGCCUGGGGAGUACGGCCGCAAGGCUAGAAACUUAAAGGAAUUGGGCGGGUGAGCACCACGAAGGGGUGAAGCUUGCGGUUU
This 432-nucleotide ribosomal RNA is filed under the name uncultured archaeon. Its description in RNAcentral is "bacterial SSU rRNA". It matches the Rfam family "Archaeal small subunit ribosomal RNA", at positions 474 to 903 of the family's 1478-position model. The record is from RNAcentral.